Molecule: long non-coding RNA, 434 nt
Organism: Heterocephalus glaber (naked mole-rat)
Lineage: Eukaryota; Metazoa; Chordata; Mammalia; Rodentia; Bathyergidae
Source: RefSeq, a predicted model, not a curated record
UCCAUAUGCCCAGAAGUGUUGGUCUCUGGCUCAAUGGGCUGCUGCUUCCACCACCGUACAGAACCCGGAAGAUUGCUGCGCACAGACAGGAGAGGGAAAAUGAACUUCCCACUCUUCGUAUGACAUUCCAGAUCACAUACUGAAGCCAUGAAACUAAUGGACAGAAAGAGGAACCAGCCAAGCUGGCCUUCCAACUGGAGACAUUCCCAUUAAAGUGCCAGAAAUGUGAAGAAAAACAUUUUGGAUUCUCCAGACCAGACCAGCAGCAACUGAAUACCACUGAACAGUCCCAGAAAAGGAAGUAAGAAACAAGGAAGGAGAUGGCCUUAAAGGGAAGAGUGGCAAGAACAGAAUAAAAAGGUAAAUCAAAAAAAGAAGAUUGGUUAGGCUGCUAACAGGAAUCAUCCUGAUUUGCUUUCUCUCAUCUACCACAU